CAUGCUCUCAUGAUAUUCUGAGCAUCACAGCGCUUACGCGGAGUUGUUCAUAGAAGACGGAUUGGCUAAGACUAGAACCAUUUCCAUUUUCAUUUAUGCAAAGAGGGUUAAGGUGCACGCAGAGAGGGCUACCGCAAAUAGAAAGUCAGCAAGAUGGAAGAAUGAAAACAGUAUUCUGUAUAUAUUCUUUCGAUAUUGCUAUAGCAGCCACCAUAGCGAAUUUGUGCUUCGGAAUCUCUGGCAUAUUCUAGCUAUGAGGAAAUAUCUGGGUUCCCACUUUCUGGUUGGUUUGACCACGAUAAUCAUAUUAACGUCGGCGAUAAAUGAUCUAUGCUCUCUACGCACACACGCUUCUCCGCUUCCCCGUCAUACAUUGACGUCGAGCUCUUCAGGCCUAUCAAAUACCGGAAGACAAGUUACACCAGGAUCUCAUCAUUCGCACUCUCCCCAACAACGCCAUCAACACCAACAGCAGCUCCACCAGCCACCGCACAACCAUGUUCAUCAUUCCCAAAACAACCACCCACAAUACGGACGACUUCGUCAGCGCCGAAAUGCAGAACCAGAUAUCUGGAAGCCAAUUCGCCAAAGGCAACGAAAUGUUCCUAACGGCGCGCAUGUCUAAGCAGCGUUACUUUAGUAACUCAUAUUUACAGAAUGCAAGCUGCUGGGAACAAGGGAGUAUAUUUAUCCGCGUUCCCUAUUGCACCCGAUUUAAAUAGCAUUUGGUUUUAGGGCUAAAUACUUGACCAAGUGGAAGCCACGUGACCAAUUUCCCAUGGUUGCUUUCAUAAUGUACACUGCAUAAGGAUGUGAAGGCCGCCAGUUAACAGAAACUAUAGUACAGUGGGCUUACUACUGCGGUAAAGUGCAGCAUGAGAAAUAAAAUAAUUACAUCAUAUUCUAUACCUUGGCUGAACGAUUAAUCGAUUGGUUGGUUGAAUAAAUAAUAUUUUGUUCCUUCC
Long non-coding RNA from Rhipicephalus sanguineus (brown dog tick), 965 nucleotides. RefSeq lists it as uncharacterized. The record is from RefSeq and is a predicted model, not a curated record. Lineage: Eukaryota; Metazoa; Arthropoda; Arachnida; Ixodida; Ixodidae. The transcript has 2 exons.